RNAcentral lists this ribosomal RNA (549 nucleotides) under uncultured bacterium. RNAcentral's name for it is "bacterial SSU rRNA". It matches the Rfam family "Bacterial small subunit ribosomal RNA", at positions 354 to 895 of the family's 1533-position model. The record is from RNAcentral.
GUGGGGAAUUUUGGACAAUGGGCGCAAGCCUGAUCCAGCCAUGCCGCGUGUCUGAAGAAGGCCUUCGGGUUGUAAAGGACUUUUGUCAGGGAAGAAAAGGAUAGGGUUAAUACCCCUGUCUGAUGACGGUACCUGAAGAAUAAGCACCGGCUAACUACGUGCCAGCAGCCGCGGUAAUACGUAGGGUGCGAGCGUUAAUCGGAAUUACUGGGCGUAAAGCGGGCGCAGACGGUUACUUAAGCAGGAUGUGAAAUCCCCGGGCUCAACCUGGGAACUGCGUUCUGAACUGGGUGACUAGAGUGUGUCAGAGGGAGGUAGAAUUCCACGUGUAGCAGUGAAAUGCGUAGAGAUGUGGAGGAAUACCGAUGGCGAAGGCAGCCUCCUGGGAUAACACUGACGUUCAUGCCCGAAAGCGUGGGUAGCAAACAGGAUUAGAUACCCUGGUAGUCCACGCCCUAAACGAUGUCGAUUAGCUGUUGGGCAGCUUGACUGCUUAGUAGCGAAGCUAACGCGUGAAAUCGACCGCCUGGGGAGUACGGUCGCAAGAUU